This 13360-nucleotide long non-coding RNA is filed under the name Triticum aestivum (bread wheat). RNAcentral's name for it is "long non-coding RNA (TAES_LNC013358)". Lineage: Eukaryota; Viridiplantae; Streptophyta; Magnoliopsida; Poales; Poaceae. The record is from RNAcentral.
UAAUUGCUGCUUUUUCAAAUUGUACCGGAUUUGAAUUUGAAUUUGAAUGUAUGCUACAGCUUUAUUCAUAUCCAUCAGGUUCAAAGAACCAAUGCAUUAUUUGAUUCAUAGGUACGUAUGUUCAAGAAUUACAUAAGAACCAAAUAAAGAAUGAUGAACCACAGUUGUAUACUUCUACUAUUAAAGACGGUAAAGAAAGAGGCGAAAUAUAUUCUGGUUGCUGAACAAGGUGAAGCGGAAUGCCCGUAUUGUGCCCUCCUCCAUGCAGAAGGCACACACGACUCUAGUCCAACCCCUUGUGAUGGCCGACAGCCCAUCUUCACGGUCUUCAUGAAAACAUGUAGAUAAUCAUCGUGUUCUGGUAGAAAUACUUUAACCUUUGUAUGCCCACCAAUCAUGUAGUUUGAGAGGGCAACCAUUGCAAAGAAAAAAGAUUCAGACAUUGUCAUCUAACACAACUCAUUAUGGGCAGUAAAAAGAAGGCUGAAGAGUUCUUACUUACCAUCCUGCAGUUCGUUGUUGUCUUGGAUAAAGUGUAAACAAAUAGUUUAAUUGCCAUCUUUGGACCCAUUUUACUAACAAUCUUUAUCAGCUUCCUCACUUGAUGUUGGUUCAUCGAUAUCUCAUUGCCCCAUACGCGGAAAGGGUCGAUGCGCGGAUCUUUACCAAUGACAUAUGUACCUAAAAGCACCAAGUUAAUAUUAGAAGCUAAACAACAAUUGCGGAAUGAUGUAGUACAACACUCUUUUAAAAUAUGUCUAUAUACAUCCGUAUGUGGUAGUCCAUUUGAAAUCUCUAAAAAGACAAACAUUUAGGAACAGAGGGAGUAUCUUAUAACAUCCAAUAUACUCACAUAUUAGAUGAAUUAACAUCUUAUAUUAUGGGCCGGGCGGAGUUUAGUGCAUUCUUACAAAUUAUCGGCUGAUUAACUGUUGUUGUAUCCAUGGGUUAUAGUUAGUUUGAGUUAGUUCGAGCUCAAAUAGCCCAAAAGUAUAUCUAAACAUGAGGCUAGUUUGAGCUAGUUGCAUCUAUAACCCACCCAAAAAACUAUUCAACCCAAGAGGUGCUAAUUGGAGCUAGUUCUCCUAGUGCAUUUAUUGUCAAUCUAACCCUGCCAUCCAAACAACUCUUUGGAUGGAGUUAGUUCAGGGUUAGUCAUGAGCUAGAAACUAACUCUAACCUCUAGCUAAGUUGAGUAUCCAAACAGGGCUAUGUUGUUGUUGUUGUUGCUGCUGCUGCUCUUCUACAUAUAUCUAGACAUCAUUAGAACAUUAAUGUAACACUCUUCCUUGUUGCUAUGUAGCCUAGGAUUGCAUAUUUAGACAUUAAGUACAGUGCAUGUUGCUUUGUAGCCUCAGAUAUAUUACAUAUGGCCCUAGUUAACCUAACGAUAAAUGGGUUGCAGAUAUAUUCAGUUAAAAGUCUGAUUCACCGAUUAGUAGCUUAUCAGCCGCCGGCCUAUAUGGUACCAGCUACCGAUAUCCUGAACAGUGAGCAGAUAUAAGCCAUGGGAUGAAACUAACCUCGAUGGAAAACAUCAGUCGUUCCCAAAAUUGUGCUGUGUAGGUACAUUGAGAAGCAUGUUAAGCACAACAGGCUAAACAUCAACCAAAAUUAUCCAUGGCAGUCAAAAUAAUCUCCAAAAGAUAGCUUUAGUGUGCAGGUUUAAGCAUACUAGUGAAGCAAAACAAGUGGAAAGGUCUGCUAACUGCAACAGGCCUAACAUUUAACAACAAGCAAACAUAGUCAUUCAAACUGGUAUUGUGCUGGUCUAAGUACACUGGUUAUUGUUAAAUAAAAAUGGAAAGGUGUGUUAACUACAAGAUGCAUCAACCAAAUGUAGUCAUUCAUUGUGGUAUUGUUGAAACUGGUACUGAUGAAAUUGAAAUGCACAGUUCAUACUUGCACAUAUAGAACAUCACGUUGUGAAUAACUAGAAUAAACAAGGCAUACUACGAACAACCAAAGAUAGCAUUCGAAACUGGACAUAUGCUAACUACAAACAACCGAACAAUCAAAAAACUUUAAAAGAGGCAUAUGCUAGCUAUAACAGGCUUAACAGCAAGCAAAUAUAUGCAUUCCUAUCGGUAUGUUUAAAACUGGAUUGAUGAAAUGUACUGCACAGUAAAUAAUUGCACAUAUAGAGCAUCACAUUGUGAACAACUGAAAUAAACAAGGCAUACUGCAAACAACUAGAUAUAGAAGUUAAAACUGGACAUAUUCUCACUACACUACAAAAGGGACUCGACAAAACAAAUCAUGGGUUUCCCCCUGUGAAGAGGCACGGAAAAACAAAUCAUGGGUUUCCUCACUUGUCAUAGAUGGGCUCGUUCCCGUGGGAAGAGCACGGACCCUGGAUGCUCUCCAUGUUGUCGCAGAUGGGCUCCUUCCCCUUGGAAGAGCACGGGUGUAGGGUGCCCUCCCUGAUGUCGCAAACGGGCACUUUCCCCUUGGAAGAGCAGAUGGGCUCUUUCCCCUUGGAAGAGUCGGAGAGGGUGCCCUCCUCGUGGUCGCCGUCGACGAGGUCUGACUUGGAAGCUGUGGAUCCCAAGCCAGCGUCGCAGAACAUGUCCUUCGGAAAUGACAAAAGGGGCUCGAUGGCGAUGUAGAAUGGCAAAUUGUUGAGAGCGAGCCAGAGGAGAUCAGCGGCGGGGACAUGGAUGAGAUCGACGGCGGUUGAACCCGCGGGGUUGGGGUGGGCCACUUAACCUAUGACAUAGCCCGCCUUAGGCCGUCGAUGUCGAUGACCUCGAUGUCGUAGCCGGCGGCCGAGACAUGCCCGCAUACUCUAGCCCGCUGCUUGAGUGCCUGCCGCCAGUAAUGGUCAUUGGCUUCCUCGGGGACGUCGAGCGAAGUGACCGCUAUACACCUCUUUUAGGCCAGUCGCUCCUCGAGCUCCAUGGGAAGCGUAGCCGGGCUUAGGCUGCGACGCUCUGGUGUGGGUGAUGGGGAUGGGGAUCUAUGGGAAAGGGGGCGUCUGGCAGGCGUCAUCUAAGAAACUCAGGGCGGCCUGGGUAUGGAGAUUGGUGGGUAAGCUGCACGGGCAAACCGGCAGAUGUUGACAAUAGAGGCCUUGCGGUGGCGACUGCGGCAGUGGCGGCGGGGACCUUGCAAGGGUUUGGAGCGUGGAGGGGGUGUGUGUGUGUGCGCGCACGCCCGAGGAGGUUUUGUUGUGUGUGUGUGUGUGUGUGUGUGGAGGGGGCGCGGGGUGUUUGAGGAAAUGACGCGGGUACUGAAAAUUUUACUACGCGGGAGUCAAACGCAGGAGUGAAAUGCCGGGCUAUUGUAAAUUUUGAUGAUAGUGGAUCGCACACGGUCCGGAGAUAACAACCGUGUGUUAUGAAACAAAAAAACCCUCGAGGCAGGCAGAUAUUUUCUAGGGACGCAGGCGGGAUUGGGAACAAGAAACACCGCACACGGUCCGGAGAUAAAAAACCAUGUGUUAUGAAACAGAAAAACCCUCGAGGCGGGUAGAUAUUUUCUAGGGAUGCAGGCGGGAUUGGGAACAAGAAACAUCGCACACGGUCCGGAGAUAACAACCGUGUGUUACGAAACAGAAAAACCCUCGAGGCGGGCAGAUAUUUUUGAGAGGGGGAGCCUCGUGGAGCCCAAUGUAUUGUGCGGAUGUGUGCGUGACAGGGGCACCGGCGUGGCACACAGUUUGUUUGAGUGAACCGUGUCUGCUGCGUCAUCCGACUUGUCUAAUGUUCAUAAAUUUGGCGAAAAAUGACGCGGGAGAGGGUCAGAACAUGAACACACUUGCAUGUGGACCAAAUUUAUGUAUCAAAAGGGUGGGUUGAUUUUCAAAUACCAAAUGCAAAUUCGAUGUGGCACCUCUCUCACAAAGUGCACGGUAUUGCUUGCCCCCACCCCCCUCGUGUCGACACGAAGGGAAUCCUAAGCUAUGAAUGCAUGCCCCUCCCCCCAACCAAGGUUCACCUAGCAAAGUGCGAAGUAGCUAGCAGCCCCCCUCCUCCCUUGUGUCGGCAUGAAGGGAAUGCUAAGCUAUGAAUGCAUGCCCCCCAACCGAGGUUCAUUCACCUAGCAAAUUGCGAAGUAGCUAGCAACCCACCNNNNNNNNNNNNNNNNNNNNNNNNNNNNNNNNNNNNNNNNNNNNNNNNNNNNNNNNNNNNNNNNNNNNNNNNNNNNNNNNNNNNNNNNNNNNNNNNNNNNNNNNNNNNNNNNNNNNNNNNNNNNNNNNNNNNNNNNNNNNNNNNNNNNNNNNNNNNNNNNNNNNNNNNNNNNNNNNNNNNNNNNNNNNNNNNNNNNNNNNNNNNNNNNNNNNNNNNNNNNNNNNNNNNNNNNNNNNNNNNNNNNNNNNNNNNNNNNNNNNNNNNNNNNNNNNNNNNNNNNNNNNNNNNNNNNNNNNNNNNNNNNNNNNNNNNNNNNNNNNNNNNNNNNNNNNNNNNNNNNNNNNNNNNNNNNNNNNNNNNNNNNNNNNNNNNNNNNNNNNNNNNNNNNNNNNNNNNNNNNNNNNNNNNNNNNNNNNNNNNNNNNNNNNNNNNNNNNNNNNNNNNNNNNNNNNNNNNNNNNNNNNNNNNNNNNNNNNNNNNNNNNNNNNNNNNNNNNNNNNNNNNNNNNNNNNNNNNNCUCGUGUCGGCACGAAGGGAAUCCUGAGCUAUGAAUGCAUGCCCCCCAACCGAGGUUCACCUAGCAAAGUGCGAAGUAGCUAGCAGCCCCCCUCCCUCGUGUCUGCAUCAACCGGAAAGAAGAAGCGGGGAAAGGGGUAGCAAAGCAACCGUGAGUACUCAUCCAAAGUACUCGCAAGCAUCAGAUCUAUGCUAAGUAUGCAUUGGUAUCGAAUGGAAGGGUUGUAUCUGUGGACUGAACUGCAGAAUGCCAGAAUAGAGGGGAAGGCCUAGCCUAUCAAAGACUAGCAACUUCAAGCAUCUCAAAGCAUCUUGCAGCAUGCAGAAGAGUAAAGAACAGCAGUUUAUAAUUAUCAAACAUUUUCUAACAUUAACGCCCAGAGAUCCUUCCUCGACUCCCUACGAGAAAGCAAUCCCGGAGCCACAUAUCCAUCACAUGUAUCAAGUAUCCAUUUCUAGUUAUAUAAGAUCCGGAUACAUGUCCGAACGUCCAUUACCGUGGACACGGUAUUCGAAUAUAUAUCUUCCGUGCAGGGUGCACCACGUUACCCAACACGCUCGAUCACUCUGGCUGUACACACCUUUCUGGGGUCAAUGCCUGGCCUCGGAAUAUCAACACGUCGCAACCCUACCUAGGCUCAACAGAGAGGUCCCCGUCGGUCUACAUCCUAAGUGCCCCGGGGUCUUGGGCCCAUCGCCUGUUGCACUCCGGGUCGUUGCGAGCAGGGUGGAUACCAGCACUGCCUCGGAUGGCCAGCACGAUCCAACCGUGCCGCAGUUCUGAACUGGACGUCUGACAAAGCUUCGACUGAUACUGACGUCGAGGCCCAUAUCUAUUCUCGCGUGGUGGUUAGUGCGUAAAGGCCAGAGGCCAACUCAGAACAAAUACCCAAACCUGUUAGUGCAUUGGGGGCUCGCGGAGACGAGCUGAGACUCAAGAUAAUGUGACCCCGUCGCCCCGUCUCGUGGACUUACAGCAAGGGCCCAGACUGCCCGGCCGUGCCACGUGGAAAACUCGUGGGUGCUUUACGGGCCCACCCGACUUUCACAUCAACUCGCGGGUACCCCUCAGGGCCGACCCGACUUCAACAAUGGUCUCAAGUAAAGUCAAGGUAACCGUGUGUCCAAACAUCAAGGAGAAAACCCGAGGAAUCACCCACAGAGGAUUCCACUCGAUGUAAUCAUCAAGGUGAACGUAAGAGGAUCCACCCUCGAGGUUCACACUUGAGGUGUUGCACGACAGCCGUAUCGAGAAUGGUGAAAGAGGAACCACCCUCGUUGACCACAACCGAAUAGCUACACUACAGAAUUAUCAUCAGGAGUGUGUUAUGAGGGAUCACCCUCGGCACUCGAUAGUAGCUCUGCAGAGUCGAGCAACUAAAGGGGCGUGAUGUGAUGUGAGGUGUCGGGCUCUGGUCAUUGAUCACGUUGAUCGAGUCGUCGAAGAGGAAGCAGGGGCAACAAGGACAAAGUGGGGGUCACUGAUGGAUCACUAACCAACCUAUACUAAGCAGUUUAGGAUAAGCAGGUAAGUAACAAUAAGCAGGUUACAAAAUCAGGCUAUGCAUUAGAAUAGAGCAAUCAAAAUACAGUAGCAAAAUCUAAUGCAAGCAUGAGAGAAUGGAAUGGGCGAUGUCGGGAUGAUCAAAGGGGGGGCUUGCCUGGAAACUCCGUUGAAAGGGAAGAAGGGUCGUCGUCGACGUAGUCGAUCACAAGGGCAUCAGCAGUGGUCUCGGGGUCUACCGGGGAGAAGAGGGGGAAGAAACAGUAAAUACAUAGCAAACAGAUGCAUGACAAAGCAUAACAUGGCAAUACGCGAUGCAAGGGGUGUUCUAACGCAGUGCUAGGUGAUACUGGCGAAGGGAGAAAACAUCCAAGAAAGUUUUCCCGGUUCCGGACGUCUGUGAGAUAGAUGAACCGGAGGGGAAAGGUUUGACGUUUGCUAGGAUAGGGACGUGUGGCGGUCGAACGGACCGCGUAUUCGGAUUCAUCUCGUCGUUCUGAGCAACAUUCAUGUAUAAAACUUUUUAUCCGAGAUACGGUUUAUUUUCUAGGAUUUUUCAAAGAUUUAAUAAUAUUAUGAAAUUGUUUUAAUUAUUUAAUUCAAAAUUAAAUAGUGUUGAUUCUAUUUAUACACAGCAACAGCUAGCCACUGAGUAUGACAGGUGGGGUCCAGGGGCCUUGUUUACCAAAUCAACAUUUGACUAUUCAACAGGUGAAUAAUGCAAGUGGGUCCUACCUGUCAAUGACUUAUGGGUUAAUAAACUAUUUUUUCGAGGGUAGGCCAAAGGCGUACCAUAGCUUUAUAGAAGAGGAGAAUGGGUUAAUAAAAUAUUUAAACUAGUUGAAUUAGUGGUGAAGGGGUCCCACAUGCCAUAGUCAGCAACUAAACUAUUCUAGUUAAUUAGAUAAAUUAGCUGUAGGGGCUCCACAUGUCAUUGGGGGUUAGUUAGUCUGAUUAGUGCUAAACUAAUUAGACCGGCCAUAUGUAUUGGUUGUGCCACGGUUGGGCACAAGGAGCAUGAGCUCCAUGGCCGGCUAGGAGUUCCUGGUGGCAGCAUCGGCAGUAGCGGCCGUAGCAGCAACAGUGGUGAGGAGCAGCAUAGUAGCAAGAGCAGCAGCUUGGCAAGAGCAGCAGUGAGCAGCCGCAGCAACAGCAAACAGGCAGCAGUGCCUCGCAACAGCAGCAGAGCAGUAGGUGCGCGCGGCGCAUGCGGGCAGCGCGAGUGGCAGCAGCCGGUAUGCAGGAGCGGCACCAGUGCAGUGCAAGCGGCUGUAGUAGCGGCGCGGUCAGCAAAGAGCAGCAGCUUAGAGCACGCACACUCGUACGUACACAUUCGCGCGAGAUCGAAUAGGCUUGGGGACAGCAAACGACGACCGGGUCGGGGCAGAGGAAGGGGGAUCCGGAGGAUUUCCUCACCAGGAGUCCAUUGGCGCGCUCGAGGACGGUCGGGGUGGACCGGAGACGAGGUAAACGAUGAUGGCGGCCGGCGAUGCAUGCGGCGAAGAAGAGCUCGAUCGCGAGCGUAUGAGGCGGCUCCGCUCGAGUUGAUGCUCGGUACGGACGAAGACGGCCACGCUGGACCUCCUGGACGUCCUCCCGCGCGUAGGUGACAACGGUGGCCGCGACAGUGGCGAUGGCGCGUUGACGGCAGCUCGUGCACGAGGAACAGAGGAGAAGCGCGAGAGGAGGGGAAAUUUUGGGGGCUAGGGUUCCAGAGGGGAGGGAGGCCGCUGGGGGCGCUCUUAACCAACAAGGGGAGCCGCGGGAUGCCUGGCACCUGGCCGGGGUGCCAUGGAUGCCCGCCACGGCUCCCCUGCUCCUGUAGCGUGAGGGGGAUGAGUGGGGGUGUUGGUUGGGACUGGUUGUUUAGCUAGAUGGGUCAAGUGGCCCGGCGGGAGGGUUUCUCUUUUCUCUUUAUUUUCUGCCUUUACUUAUUUAUUUAUUUUUUUCCGCUUUGCUUUUAUUUUUAAAAGUAUAAUAGUUUUAUAAAAUAUAAGACUUGGUCCUUAAUUAGCAUUGCAGAUUUAGACACUGCCUCUAAAAGUAUGGAAUUUAUUUAACAAUAGUUUGGAUUGUAUAUAUAAAUUAAAAGCAAUUAAAAUAUUGUUUGGGACCCCAUUUAAAUGUUUUUGGGAAUUUAAAUUAUUUUAUUAAGUGUUGGUUACACUAUGAUAAUUAUUCAGUGAAUAUUUGCAACCAACCCUACAUUUUUUAUUUAAUGUUUGAAGAAGUAAUAAUUUCACUUGCUAUUUAAAUUUGAAUUUGACUAACGGUUUGGAUCAAAGUGAGGUUUAGAAAAUUAAUGGCGAUGACAUGGCACCAUUAGUGUGUGGUUACUGUAGCUUAAUUAUCUGGGUGUCACAAUUCUCCUCCACUACAAGAAAUCUCGUUCCGAGAUUGAAGGGGUGUAGUAUGGGGAAAAGACUCGGGAAUGACGGAACUCAACAUAAGAUAGGUACCUGGGGGCUAUCUCAUUGAGCGUGGCAUAGAGGCCUCUCUCGAGUUGAAAUUUAAGAAAGUCCUCGAGGGCAAGGUAAGAAGGUGCAAUAAGAAGCUUCAACCGGAUAGACAAACGUUUAGUACCUGAAACAGACGGUGAAAGGGGUUCAGAGCAAUGGGAAUAAGUAUUGCGUCUGAUAUCAAAAUAGAUCACUAGGAAGGUGGCUUGUGAUUUACAUACGAAGCCAAGCGCGAGGAACAAUUUUGGAAAAUAGGGAUGAACAUGAGAGCCAGGUUCCGAUCCUAUGGAACUGUGGGUUAUGGGCCCACCAUGUGGGUUAAAAGCAGGAAGGGUGCUAACAUUUGCAUGGUCAUGAUAGCAAGGCAGGUCGGAGGAUAGCCUGUCAGUUAUGUUAGUACCAACGUUGGUACCAAGGGCGAGGGACGAAGAGAACCAUUUUCCUGCUCGUUAAGACGAGGCGGACCAAUAAGCAAAGUUCUCGUCCAUCGGCGGCUACCAUAAUGUCAUCAACCAUAGUAAUAAGGUCUUAUUGACAGAGUUGUACACCGAGGUGUUUACAUAAGCAGGAAAUUAUCACUGCUCAGAUAUGUUAGGUUACAAGAAAGGUUAAACAAAACAAUGGAAAGGAAAGUUUAGACUCGAACCAAUUAUCGGUGUUCUCGAGUGUCUAACAACUCAGAACCAGUGGAAAAUUGGAAUCAGCAAGAAAUAAUAGUUGAUGAAGAACUCAUAAGAGGCUAUGUAGUUCCGUGAUAUUCUCGAGAUACCAGAGGGUAAUACUCGAAGGUAGAACCGGACAGAGGUUGGACAGAAGAAAAGAUCUGCAGAAGACAAGUACUUUAACUUGUCUGAGAAAUGAGAUCAAAGAAGAACAAUCUGGUCGGAACCACGGUGGCAAAGGACCAAACAUAGAUACAAGAUGAACUUAUCAAAAGGGGAUUAUGAUUAUUUCAGGAAGCUUCCAUGAUAAGUUGCACAUCGGGUCCAUGGGCAUGAACGCAAAGGAUCAAGGUCGACUCCCACUUCAUCAAUAAUGCAUAACCUAUUCACUUCUUAUUUUCGACAAAGCCAUAGUGUUCAGAUUUUAUCUAGCAUAACACUAGUAGAGUAUGACCCGUAGAAGUUUCCGGGUUCACACAGAUUGUGGAAGGCAUAGGUUCAACCCAUCGGGGCAUCUUAGGAACCCAUACCACAAACUUUAGGAAUAAAUAACUCAAGCUCAGAAGCAUAUCAUGGUUGACAAAAGCAGGGAUACAAUUUACCAAAGGCAUUAUGUAUCCGAGGAAAAGCUCACAAGGUUACUGAAUAUGAAGGACCCUAUUGGAUAAAACCCAACAAAGGACCUGGAGGUCCACAAUGGAUCUGAUGUGAGUAUCGGUACUCAACCAGAAGAAGAAAGAAUGCAUGGAGGUCAGGUUAUAGAAACAACUAACUAAUUCAAAGCUCAAAUGCAAAGGAAUUAUGGUUUCCAAAUCGGGGGAUCAGAAAUAGAGGCUCUGAUCAAAGACAAGUAAGGUGAAUAGACAUAGAUCGACAAUCAAGCAAGGCUUGAUUCAUCGAACACCAGCUCAUGUCCGGAGUGACGUCUGAACCAUGGGAAGGAUUUUAACUAGGACUGGUGAUCGCAAGCAUUCACAAACAAAUCGAAUCAAAUGCUCGAAAUCACGAUGACAAAGGAUGCUAAUGAGCAUUGCUCGACAUACGGAGUAACCAUAAUGCAAGCAGAUAAGUAUUUGCCGAGCAAUAGUUGGAAAGGAUUACCGGAAGAUCGGAUAGUACUUCAAAGUAUGAAUCACUUGAUCAACUAGGAAUCAACAAAUCCUUGAAAAGUGUGAGGAAUUAUUCAUAGGGGUAUUCAUGCGGCAAGGAACUGGAGGGCAGUGCCAGUAAGCAUAAAGGAUUCUCGGAACAUCAGAGAGUAUUUCAGGACAUCUUGUAAUAACAAGGGCAGCUGGGGAUGAAGGUAUGAACGACAAUGUAGAUAGUUACCCAUAAGGAUUUUUCGGUGGUAGGGAUCGCAACGGCGAAGGGCACAAGGGUCUAGGGAAAACAUCGGAGAGUAUCUUCAGAAUCUCCUAGUGCACCAAGCAAUCAUCUGGAGUGAGGGGCUCUCCGGGAGAAAGUAUUUACGAGAACCUAGAGUUAUUGUUAGCAAAACCAUUUAACCCGAAUAGAAGAGAGAUCAGAUUCCCAGAGUAUAGACGAGGAAUAAAAGAUCCUAAUACCACCCAAUGGCGACGUGGGACCGUAAGCCACACAACCAUGUUAGUAAAACAGUUUUUCAAAGACUAGACUCAACUUCGGCCAAGGAGUUGGAAAGGGGGAUCCUACAGGCAGUCGGCUCUGAUACCAACUUGCCUCGGGGCCUUGGGGCCAUCGCCCGUUGCACUCCGGGUCGUUGCGAGCAAGGUGGAUACCAGCACCACCUCGGAUGGCUAGCAUGAUCCAACCGUGCCGCAGUGCUGAACUGGACGUCUGACAAAGCUUCGGCUGAUACUGCGACGUCGAGGCCCAUAUCUAUUCUCGCGUGGUGGUUAGUGCAUAAAGGCCAGAGGCCAACUCAGAACAAAUACCCAAACCUGUUAGUGCAUUGGGGGCUCGCGGAGACGAGCAGAGACUCGCGAUAAUGUGACGCCGUCGCCCCAUCUCGUGGCCUUAUGGCAAGGGCCCAGACUACCCGGCCGUGCCACAUGGAAAACUCGCCGGUGCUCUACGAGCCCGCCCGACUUUCACAUCAACUCGCGGGUACCCCUCAGGGACGAUCCGACUUCUACAAUGGUCUCAGGUAAAGUCAAGGUAACCGUGUGUCCAAACAUCAAGGGGAAAACCCGAGGAAUCACCCACGGAGGAUUCCACUCGAUGUAAUCAUCAAGGUGAACGUAAGAGGAUCCACCCUCGAGGUUCAUACUUGAGGUCUUGCACGAUAGCCGUAUCGGGAAUGGUGAAAGAGGAACCACCCUCGUUGACCACUACCGAAUAACUACACUACAGAAUUAUCAUUAGCAGUGCGUUAUGAGGGAUCACCCUCGGCACUCGAUAGUAGCUCUACUGUGUCGAGCAACUAAAGGGGCGUGAUGUGAUGUGAGGUGUCGGGCUUUGGUCAUCGAUCACGUUGAUCGAGUCGUCAAAGAGGAAGCAGGGGCAACAAGGACAAAGUGGGGGUCAUUGAUGGAUCACUAACCAACCUAUACUAAGCAGUUCAGGAUAAGCAGGUAAGUAACAAUAAGCAGGUUACAAAAGCAGGCUAUGUGUUAGAAUAGGAGCAAUCAAAUACAAUAGCAAAAUCUAAUGCAAGCAUGAGAUAAUGGAAUGGGCGAUAUCGGGAUGAUCAAAGGGGGGGCUUGCCUGGAAACUCCGAUGAAAGGGAAGAAGGGUCGUUGUCGACGUAGUCGAUCACAAGGGCAUCAGCAGCGGUCUCGGGGUCUACCGGGGAGAAGAGGGGGAAGAAAUAGUAAAUACAUAGCAAACAGAUGCAUGACAAAGCAUAACAUGGCAAUACGCGAUGCAAGGGGUGUUCUAACGCAGUGCUAGGUGAUACUGGCGAAGGGGCAAAACAUCCAGGAAAGUUUUCCCGGUUUCGGAUGUGUGCCAGACAGAUGAACCGGAGGGGAAAGGUUUGACGUUUUCUAGGAUAGGGACGCGUGGCGGGCGAACGGUCUGCGUAUUCGGAUUCGUCUCGUCGUUCUGAGCAACUUUCAUGUAUAAAACUUUUUCAUCCGAGAUACGGUUUAUUUUUUAAGAUUUUUCAAAAAUUUAAUAAUAUUAUGAAAUUGUUUUAAUUAUUUAAUUCGAAUUUAAAUAGUGCUGAUUCUAUUUAUACACAGCAGCAGCUAGCCACUGAGUAUGACAGGUGGGGUCCAGGGGCCUUGUUGAGCAAAUCAACAUUUGUCUAGUCAAUAGGUGAAUAGUGCAAGUGGGUCCUACCUGUCAAUGACUUAUGGGUUAAUAAACUAUUUAAACUAGUUGAAUUAGUGGUGGAGGGGUCCCACAUGCCAUAGUCAGCAACUAAACUAUUCUAGUUAAUUAGAUAAAUUAGCUGCAGGGGCUCCACAUGUCAUAGGGGGUUAGUUAGUCUGAUUAGUGCUAAACUAAUUGGACCGGCCAUAUGUAUUGGUUGUGCCACGGUUGGGCACAAGGAGCAUGAGCUCCAUGGCCGGCUAGGAGUUCCUGGUGGCAGCAUCGGCAGUAGUGGCCGUAGCAGCCAAGGCAACAGCAGUGGUGAGGAGAAGCAUAGUAGCAGGAGCAGCAGCUUGGCAAGAGCAGCAGUGAGCAGCCGCAGCAACAGCAAGCAGGCAGCAGCGCCUCACAACAGCAGCAGAGCAGCAGGUGCGUGCGGCGCAUGCGGGCAGCGCGAGCGGCAGCAGCCGGUACGCAGGAGCGGCACCAGUGCAGCGCAAGCGGCUGUAGUAGUGGUGCGGUCAGCAAAGAGCAGCAGCUUAGAGCAAGCACACUCGUACGUACACGUUGGCGCGAGAUCGGAUAGGCUUGGGGACAGCAAACGACGACCGGGUCGGGGCAGAGGAAGGGGGAUCCGGAGGAUUUCCUCACCACGAGUCCAUUGGUGCGCUCGGGGACGGUCGGGGUGGACCGGAGACGAGGUAAACGAUGAUGGCGGCCGGCGAUGCACGCGGCGAAGAUGAGCUCGAUGGCGAGCGUAUGAGGCGGCUCCGCUCGAGUUGAUGCUCGGGACGGAUGAAGACGGCCACGCUGGACCUCCUGGACGUCCUCCCGCGCGUAGGGGACGACGGUGGCCGCGUCAGCGGCGAUGGCGCGUUGACGGCACCUCGUGCACGAGGAACACAGGAG